GUGGGGAAUCUUCCGCAAUGGACGAAAGUCUGACGGAGCAACGCCGCGUGAGUGAAGAAGGUUUUCGGAUCGUAAAGCUCUUUCGUCAGGGACGAACGUAUUUCUUGUAAAUAAUGAGAGAUAGUGACGGUACCUGAAUAAGAAGCCACGGCUAACUACGUGCCAGCAGCCGCGGUAAUAUGUAGGUGGCAAGCGUUGUCCGGAAUUAUUGGGCGUAAAGCGCGCGCAGGCGGGAUAUCAAGUCUGUCUUAAAAGUGCGAGGCUCAACCUCGUGAGGGGUCAGAAACUGGUAUUCUUGAGUGUCGGAGAGGAAAGUGGAAUUCCAAGUGUAGCGGUGAAAUGCGUAGAGAUUUGGAAGAACACCAGUGGCGAAGGCGACUUUCUGGACGAUGUCUGACGCUGAGGCGCGAAAGCUAGGGGAGCGAACGGGAUUAGAAACCCCUGUAGUCC
Molecule: ribosomal RNA, 450 nt
Filed under: uncultured bacterium
Lineage: Bacteria
Description: partial 16S ribosomal RNA
Rfam family: Bacterial small subunit ribosomal RNA
Source: RNAcentral